This 63-nucleotide transfer RNA is filed under the name Lasmigona complanata. Its description in RNAcentral is "tRNA-Gly". Lineage: Eukaryota; Metazoa; Mollusca; Bivalvia; Unionida; Unionidae. The record is from RNAcentral.
AUGCUGAUAGUAUACAUAAGUACAAUUGCCUUCCAAGCAGAAAGACCACAAAUGGUCAGCAUA